GACGAACGCUGGCGGCGUGCUUAACACAUGCAAGUCGAACGGAAAGGCCCUGCUUUUGUGGGGUGCUCGAGUGGCGAACGGGUGAGUAACACGUGAGUAACCUGCCCUUGACUUUGGGAUAACUUCAGGAAACUGGGGCUAAUACCGGAUAGGAGCUCCUGCUGCAUGGUGGGGUUGGAAAGUUUCGGCGGUUGGGGAUGGACUCGCGGCUUAUCAGCUUGUUGGUGGGGUAGUGGCUUACAAAGGCUUUGACGGGUAGCCGGCCUGAGAGGGUGACCGGCCACAUUGGGACUGAGAUACGGCCCAGACUCCUACGGGAGGCAGCAGUGGGGAAUAUUGCACAAUGGGCGGAAGCCUGAUGCAGCAACGCCGCGUGCGGGAUGACGGCCUUCGGGUUGUAAACCGCUUUCGCCUGUGACGAAGCGUGAGUGACGGUAAUGGGUAAAGAAGCACCGGCUAACUACGUG
Molecule: ribosomal RNA, 467 nt
Filed under: uncultured bacterium
Lineage: Bacteria
Description: partial 16S ribosomal RNA
Rfam family: Bacterial small subunit ribosomal RNA
Source: RNAcentral